GACGAACGCUGGCGGCGUGCUUAACACAUGCAAGUCGAACGGAAAGGCCCUGCUUGCAGGGUACUCGAGUGGCGAACGGGUGAGUAACACGUGGGUGAUCUGCCCUGCACUUCGGGAUAAGCUUGGGAAACUGGGUCUAAUACCGGAUAGGAGCCAUCUUUAGUGUGGUGGUUGGAAAGUUUUUUCGGUGUAGGAUGAGCUCGCGGCCUAUCAGCUUGUUGGUGGGGUAAUGGCCUACCAAGGCGGCGACGGGUAGCCGGCCUGAGAGGGUGUACGGCCACAGUGGGACGGAGAUACGGCCCAGACUCCUACGGGAGGCAGCAGUGGGGAAUAUUGCACAAUGGGCGCAAGCCUGAUGCAGCGACGCCGCGUGGGGGAUGAAGGCCUUCGGGUUGUAAACUCCUUUCGCUAGGGACGAAGCUUUGUUGUGACGGUACCUAGAUAAGAAGCACCGGCUAACUACGUG
RNAcentral lists this ribosomal RNA (466 nucleotides) under uncultured bacterium. Its description in RNAcentral is "partial 16S ribosomal RNA". It matches the Rfam family "Bacterial small subunit ribosomal RNA", at positions 28 to 507 of the family's 1533-position model. The record is from RNAcentral.